This 74-nucleotide transfer RNA is filed under the name Gemmatimonadota bacterium. Its description in RNAcentral is "Gemmatimonadetes bacterium (freshwater metagenome) tRNA-Arg". It matches the Rfam family "tRNA". From Rfam's summary of the family: Transfer RNA (tRNA) molecules are approximately 80 nucleotides in length. Their secondary structure includes four short double-helical elements and three loops (D, anti-codon, and T loops). Further hydrogen bonds mediate the characteristic L-shaped molecular structure. tRNAs have two regions of fundamental functional importance: the anti-codon, which is responsible for specific mRNA codon recognition, and the 3' end, to which the tRNAs corresponding amino acid is attached (by aminoacyl-tRNA synthetases). tRNAs cope with the degeneracy of the genetic code in two manners: having more than one tRNA (with a specific anti-codon) for a particular amino acid; and 'wobble' base-pairing, i.e. permitting non-standard base-pairing at the 3rd anti-codon position. The record is from RNAcentral. Lineage: Bacteria; Pseudomonadati; Gemmatimonadota.
GGGCCCGUAGCUCAAUUGGAUAGAGCGUUUGACUACGGAUCAGAAGGUUGGGGGUUCGAGCCCCUCCGGGCCCA